RNAcentral lists this ribosomal RNA (253 nucleotides) under uncultured bacterium. RNAcentral's name for it is "partial 16S ribosomal RNA". It matches the Rfam family "Bacterial small subunit ribosomal RNA", at positions 524 to 776 of the family's 1533-position model. The record is from RNAcentral.
GACGAACCGAGCGAACGUUAUUCGGAAUCACUGGGCUUAAAGGGCGCGUAGGCGGAUCGAAAAGUCAGGGGUGAAAUCCCACGGCUCAACCGUGGAAGUGCCUCUGAUACUGUCGAUCUCGAGGGAGGUAGGGGCGUGCGGAACUUCCGGUGGAGCGGUGAAAUGCGUAGAUAUCGGAAGGAACACCGGUGGCGAAAGCGGCGCGCUGGACCUCUUCUGACGCUGAGGCGCGAAAGCCAGGGGAGCAAACGGG